This 1016-nucleotide ribosomal RNA is filed under the name Lactiplantibacillus plantarum. Its description in RNAcentral is "bacterial SSU rRNA". It matches the Rfam family "Bacterial small subunit ribosomal RNA", at positions 421 to 1440 of the family's 1533-position model. The record is from RNAcentral. Lineage: Bacteria; Bacillati; Bacillota; Bacilli; Lactobacillales; Lactobacillaceae.
GCUCGUAAAACUCUGUUGUUAAAGAAGAACAUAUCUGAGAGUAACUGUUCAGGUAUUGACGGUAUUAACCAGAAAGCCACGGCUAACUACGUGCCAGCAGCCGCGGUAAUACGUAGGUGGCAAGCGUUGUCCGGAUUAUUGGGCGUAAAGCGGGCGCAGGCGGUAAGUCUGAUGUGAAAGCCUUCGGCUCAACCGAAGAAGUGCAUCGGAAACUGGGAAACUUGAGUGCAGAAGAGGACAGUGGAACUCCAUGUGUAGCGGUGAAAUGCGUAGAUAUAUGGAAGAACACCAGUGGCGAAGCGGCUGUCUGGUCUGUAACUGACGCUGAGGCUCGAAAGUAUGGGUAGCAAACAGGAUUAGAUACCCUGGUAGUCCAUACCGUAAACGAUGAAUGCUAAGUGUUGGAGGGUUCCGCCCUUCAGUGCUGCAGCUAACGCAUUAAGCAUUCCGCCUGGGGAGUACGGCCGCAAGGCUGAAACUCAAAGGAAUUGACGGGGGCCCGCACAAGCGGUGGAGCAUGUGGUUAAUUCGAAGCUACGCGAAGAACCUUACCAGGUCUUGACAUACUAUGCAAAUCUAAGAGAUUAGACGUUCCCUUCGGGGACAUGGAUACAGGUGGUGCAUGGUUGUCGUCAGCUCGUGUCGUGAGAUGUUGGGUUAAGUCCCGCAACGAGCGCAACCCUUAUUAUCAGUUGCCAGCAUUAAGUUGGGCACUCUGGUGAGACUGCCGGUGACAAACCGGAGGAAGGUGGGGAUGACGUCAAAUCAUCAUGCCCCUUAUGACCUGGGCUACACACGUGCUACAAUGGAUGGUACAACGAGUUGCGAACUCGCGAGAGCAAGCUAAUCUCUUAAAGCCAUUCUCAGUUCGGAUUGUAGGCUGCAACUCGCCUACAUGAAGUCGGAAUCGCUAGUAAUCGCGGAUCAGCAUGCCGCGGUGAAUACGUUCCCGGGCCUUGUACACACCGCCCGUCACACCAUGAGAGUUUGUAACACCCAAAGUCGGUGGGGUAACC